AUUGAACGCUGGCGGCAUGCUUUACACAUGCAAGUCGAACGGCAGCACGGGGGCAGCCCUGGUGGCGAGUGGCGAACGGGUGAGUAAUACAUCGGAACGUGCCCGGUCGUGGGGGAUAACGUAGCGAAAGUUACGCUAAUACCGCAUACGAUCUGAGGAUGACAGCGGGGGACCUUCGGGCCUCGCGCGAUCGGAGCGGCCGAUGUCAGAUUAGGUAGUUGGUGGGGUAAAGGCCUACCAAGCCGACGAUCUGUAGCUGGUCUGAGAGGACGACCAGCCACAGUGGGACUGAGACACGGCCCAGACUCCUACGGGAGGCAGCAGUGGGGAAUUUUGGACAAUGGGCGCAAGCCUGAUCCAGCCAUGCCGCGUGCAGGACGAAGGCCUUCGGGUUGUAAACUGCUUUUGUACGGAACGAAAAGGCUCUGGCUAAUACCUGGGGCUCAUGACGGUACCGUAAGAAUAAGCACCGGCUAACUACGUG
This 484-nucleotide ribosomal RNA is filed under the name uncultured bacterium. RNAcentral describes it as "partial 16S ribosomal RNA". It matches the Rfam family "Bacterial small subunit ribosomal RNA", at positions 29 to 507 of the family's 1533-position model. The record is from RNAcentral.